RNAcentral lists this ribosomal RNA (580 nucleotides) under Pseudomonas aeruginosa. RNAcentral's name for it is "bacterial SSU rRNA". It matches the Rfam family "Bacterial small subunit ribosomal RNA", at positions 67 to 643 of the family's 1533-position model. The record is from RNAcentral. Lineage: Bacteria; Pseudomonadati; Pseudomonadota; Gammaproteobacteria; Pseudomonadales; Pseudomonadaceae.
CGGAUGAGGGAGCUUGCUCCUGGAUUCAGCGGCGGACGGGUGACUAAUGCCUAGGAAUCUGCCUGGUAGUGGGGGAUAACGUCCGGAAACGGGCGCUAAUACCGCAUACGUCCUGAGGGAGAAAGUGGGGGAUCUUCGGACCUCACGCUAUCAGAUGAGCCUAGGUCGGAUUAGCUAGUUGGUGGGGUAAAGGCCUACCAAGGCGACGAUCCGUAACUGGUCUGAGAGGAUGAUCAGUCACACUGGAACUGAGACACGGUCCAGACUCCUACGGGAGGCAGCAGUGGGGAAUAUUGGACAAUGGGCGAAAGCCUGAUCCAGCCAUGCCGCGUGUGUGAAGAAGGUCUUCGGAUUGUAAAGCACUUUAAGUUGGGAGGAAGGGCAGUAAGUUAAUACCUUGCUGUUUUGACGUUACCAACAGAAUAAGCACCGGCUAACUUCGUGCCAGCAGCCGCGGUAAUACGAAGGGUGCAAGCGUUAAUCGGAAUUACUGGGCGUAAAGCGCGCGUAGGUGGUUCAGCAAGUUGGAUGUGAAAUCCCCGGGCUCAACCUGGGAACUGCAUCCAAAACUACUGAGCUA